GUUGUUUUUUACAUCUACUAUAGAAAUUAAACUAAAAUCUAAUUAUGGAUGCAAGUUUACCUUUUAGAACUGAUCUGGACCAGAGAGAAUCAUUACAAUUCCAGCUGUAGUAUACUUGAGGGGAAAAAGUCAAAUUCAGAAGAACAGCCAUGACAUCAUCCAUAACAUACCUCUAUGAUGUGUGACCUGCAGGGAAGGACAAAGAAGAACAAAAAUUUGGGAAAGAGUUUCCCUCAUUAAAUAUUUACCAUUUCAGCUCCAGAUUCAGGAAAGUCUUGAUUGUAUUUCCAGUUAUGCUGUUUUUCUCCAAUGCACAUGCCUUUGGUCUGCAUUUCUCAGCACCCAGAACUACCCCUGAAGAAAAUAGGGCAGCAGCC
Molecule: long non-coding RNA, 377 nt
Organism: Catharus ustulatus (Swainson's thrush)
Lineage: Eukaryota; Metazoa; Chordata; Aves; Passeriformes; Turdidae
Exons: 3
Source: RefSeq, a predicted model, not a curated record